Molecule: RNase P RNA, 356 nt
Filed under: uncultured Roseburia sp.
Lineage: Bacteria; Bacillati; Bacillota; Clostridia; Lachnospirales; Lachnospiraceae
Description: Bacterial RNase P class A
Rfam family: Bacterial RNase P class A
About the family: Ribonuclease P (RNase P) is a ubiquitous endoribonuclease, found in archaea, bacteria and eukarya as well as chloroplasts and mitochondria. Its best characterised activity is the generation of mature 5'-ends of tRNAs by cleaving the 5'-leader elements of precursor-tRNAs.
Source: RNAcentral
UAGGACAAAUAAUCGCGGCCCGAAUUUCGGGGUGAGGAAAGUCCGGGCUUCACAGGGCAGGAUGCCGGAUAACGUCCGGCGGAGGCGACUCCAGGGACAGUGCAACAGAAAUAUACCGCCCCGCGUUUCGGCGCGGGGUAAGGGUGGAAGGGCAGUGUAAGAGACUACCGCCUCUCUGGCAACAGAGGGGGCACAUGUAAACCCCAUCCGAAGCAAGACCGAACGAAAGCGUUGACGCGGCCCGCCAGCUUUGGGUAGGUUGCUUGAGGCGGCUGGCGACAGUCGUCCUAGAUAGAUGAUUAUUCCGGCUGCGGAUUUCCGCAGCCAAGACAUAACCCGGCUUAUCGUCCUGCUUA